RNAcentral lists this ribosomal RNA (274 nucleotides) under uncultured bacterium. RNAcentral's name for it is "partial 16S ribosomal RNA". It matches the Rfam family "Bacterial small subunit ribosomal RNA", at positions 523 to 796 of the family's 1533-position model. The record is from RNAcentral.
AUACGGAGGGUGCGAGCGUUAAUCGGAAUUACUGGGCGUAAAGCGCACGUAGGCGGCGCACGCAGUCAGAGGUGAAAGGCCUGGGCUCAACCCAGGAACUGCCUUUGAUACUGGUGUGCUAGAGUCCGGGAGAGGGUAGCGGAAUUCCCAGUGUAGAGGUGAAAUUCGUAGAUAUUGGGAAGAACACCGGUUGCGAAGGCGGCUACCUGGACCGGUACUGACGCUGAGGUGCGAAAGCGUGGGGAGCAAACAGGAUUAGAAACCCGAGUAGUCC